Molecule: non-coding RNA, 304 nt
Organism: Pimephales promelas (fathead minnow)
Lineage: Eukaryota; Metazoa; Chordata; Actinopteri; Cypriniformes; Leuciscidae
Source: RefSeq, a predicted model, not a curated record
ACUACCUCAAAUCUGAAUGUGGAGUUUGUAAGGACGGGCUACGGGAAAGAUACGGUUAAAGUUCUUCACAUCCAUCGUGAAGGAUCUCAUCACCGCAUUACUGAGCUGAUUGCAGACGUUCAGUUAACCCUGAAGACCCAAAAAGACUAUCUGACUGGAGACAACUCUGAUAUCAUCCCCACUGACACAAUCAAAACACUGUCCAUGCUCUUGCCAAAAUAAAAGGAAUCAAGACCCUCGAGGGCUUUGCCCUGGAUAUUUGUGAACAUUUCCUCACAGCAUUAAUCAUGUCACAAGAGUGAGG